UGAGGAAUAUUGGUCAAUGGGCGCAAGCCUGAACCAGCCAUCCCGCGUGCAGGAAGACGGCGCUAUGCGUUGUAAACUGCUUUUCCAGGGAGAGAAACUUGCGCACGUGUUGCGCAAUUGACGGUACCCUGGGAAUAAGCAUCGGCUAACUCCGUGCCAGCAGCCGCGGUAAUACAGAGGAUGCGAGCGUUAUCCGGAUUCAUUGGGUUUAAAGGGUGCGUAGGCGGACUAUUAAGUCAGUGGUGAAAUCCUGCAGCUUAACUGCAGAACUGCCAUUGAUACUGAUAGCCUUGAGUUUGGUUAAGGUAGGCGGAAUGUGUAAUGUAGCGGUGAAAUGCUUAGAUAUUACACAGAACACCAAUUGCGUAGGCAGCUUACUGAGACGACACUGACGCUGAAGAACGAAAGCGUGGGGAUCGAACAG
Molecule: ribosomal RNA, 424 nt
Filed under: uncultured bacterium
Lineage: Bacteria
Description: bacterial SSU rRNA
Rfam family: Bacterial small subunit ribosomal RNA
Source: RNAcentral